ACGCUCGACACCUACGGGGGCAGCAGUGGGGGAUAUUGCACAAUGGAGGAAACUCUGAUGCAGCGACGCCGCGUGAGGGAAGAAGGUUUUCGGAUUGUAAACCUCUGUCUUCGGUGACGAAAAUGACGGUAGCCGAGGAGGAAGCCACGGCUAACUACGUGCCAGCAGCCGUGGUAAUCUGAGCGGGCUGGCAAGGC
Molecule: ribosomal RNA, 197 nt
Filed under: uncultured bacterium
Lineage: Bacteria
Description: partial 16S ribosomal RNA
Rfam family: Bacterial small subunit ribosomal RNA
Source: RNAcentral